Molecule: ribosomal RNA, 1016 nt
Filed under: uncultured archaeon
Lineage: Archaea
Description: bacterial SSU rRNA
Rfam family: Archaeal small subunit ribosomal RNA
Source: RNAcentral
CAAAACGAGGCACGGCACACAGCUCAGUAACACGUGGCUAACCUGCCCUUGGGAUAGGAACAACCCCGGGAAACUGGGGCUAAUUCCCAAUAGGUGAAGAACUCUGGAAUGAGUCUCCACCAGAAAGGACACAUGCGCUAUGCUCGCAUGUUUCGCCCAAGGAUGGGGCCGCGACCGAUCAGGUUGUUGGUGAGGUAAUGGCUCACCAAGCCUUUUACCGGUGCGGGCCGUGGGAGCGGGAGCCCGGAGAUGGGCACUGAGACAAGGGCCCAGGCCCUACGGGGCGCAGCAGUCGCGAAAACUUUGCAAUAAGCGAAAGCUUGACGGGGCUAUCCCGAGUGCCAUCCGCUGAGGAAGGCUUUUACCCAGUCUAGAACGCUGGGGGAAUAAGGAGAGGGCAAGUCUGGUGUCAGCCGCCGCGGUAAUACCAGCUCUCCGAGUGGUGUGGAUGUUUAUUGGGCCUAAAGCAUCCGCAGCUGGCUAAGUUAGUCCCUUGUUAAAUCCACCAAAUUAAUUGUUGGAUUGCGGGGGAUACUGCUUGGCUAGGGGACGAGAGAGGCAGACGGUAUUUUCGGGGUAGGGGUGAAAUCCUAUAAUCCCGGGAAGACCACCAGUGGCGAAGGCUGUCUGCUAGAACGCGCCCGACGGUGAGGGAUGAAAGCUGGGGGAGCGAACCGGAUUAGAUACCCGGGUAGUCCCAGCUGUAAACGAUGCAGACUAGGUGUUUGGACGGCCACGUGCCGUUCUAGUGCCGCAGGGAAGCUGUUAAGUCUGCCGCCUGGGGAGUACGAUCGCAAGAUUGAAACUUAAAGGAAUUGGCGGGGGAGCACCACAAGGGGUGAAGCUUGCGGUUUAAUUGGAGUCAACGCCGGAAAUCUCACCGGGAGCGAUAGCAGUAUGAAGGCCAGAUUAAAGGUCUUGCUAGACGAGCUGAGAGGAGGUGCAUGGCCGUCGCCAGUUCGUGCCGUGAGGUGUCCUGUUUAGUCAGGCAACGAUCGAGACCCGCGUCCUCUGUU